GGUUAAGCGACUAAGCGUACACGGUGGAUGCCUAGGCAGUCAGAGGCGAUGAAGGGCGUGCUAAUCUGCGAAAAGCGUCGGUAAGGUGAUAUGAACCGUUAUAACCGACGAUACCCGAAUGGGGAAACCCAGUGCAAUUCGUUGCACUAUUGCAUGGUGAAUACAUAGCCAUGCAAGGCGAACCGGGGGAACUGAAACAUCUAAGUACCCCGAGGAAAAGAAAUCAACCGAGAUUCCCCCAGUAGCGGCGAGCGAACGGGGAGGAGCCCAGAACCUGAAUCAGCGUAUGUGUUAGUGGAAGCGUCUGGAAAGUCGCACGGUACAGGGUGAUAGUCCCGUACACAAAAAUGCAUAUGUUGUGAGUUCGAUGAGUAGGGCGGGACACGUGACAUCCUGUCUGAAUAUGGGGGGACCAUCCUCCAAGGCUAAAUACUCCUGACUGACCGAUAGUGAACCAGUACCGUGAGGGAAAGGCGAAAAGAACCCCGGCGAGGGGAGUGAAAUAGAACCUGAAACCGUGUACGUACAAGCAGUGGGAGCACCUUCGUGGUGUGACUGCGUACCUUUUGUAUAAUGGGUCAGCGACUUAUAUUUUGUAGCAAGGUUAACCGAAUAGGGGAGCCGUAGGGAAACCGAGUCUUAACUGGGCGUCUAGUUGCAAGGUAUAGACCCGAAACCCGGUGAUCUAGCCAUGGGCAGGUUGAAGGUUGGGUAACACUAACUGGAGGACCGAACCGACUAAUGUUGAAAAAUUAGCGGAUGACUUGUGGCUGGGGGUGAAAGGCCAAUCAAACCGGGAGAUAGCUGGUUCUCCCCGAAAGCUAUUUAGGUAGCGCCUCGUGAACUCAUCUUCGGGGGUAGAGCACUGUUUCGGCUAGGGGGUCAUCCCGACUUACCAAACCGAUGCAAACUCCGAAUACCGAAGAAUGUUAUCACGGGAGACACACGGCGGGUGCUAACGUCCGUCGUGAAGAGGGAAACAACCCAGACCGCCAGCUAAGGUCCCAAAGUCAUGGUUAAGUGGGAAACGAUGUGGGAAGGCAUAGACAGCCAGGAUGUUGGCUUAGAAGCAGCCAUCAUUUAAAGAAAGCGUAAUAGCUCACUGGUCGAGUCGGCCUGCGCGGAAGAUGUAACGGGGCUAAACCAUGCACCGAAGCUGCGGCAGCGACGCUUAGGCGUUGUUGGGUAGGGGAGCGUUCUGUAAGCCGUUGAAGGUGACCUGUGAGGGUUGCUGGAGGUAUCAGAAGUGCGAAUGCUGACAUAAGUAACGAUAAUGCGGGUGAAAAACCCGCACGCCGGAAGACCAAGGGUUCCUGUCCAACGUUAAUCGGGGCAGGGUGAGUCGACCCCUAAGGCGAGGCUGAAAAGCGUAGUCGAUGGGAAACAGGUUAAUAUUCCUGUACUUGGUGUUACUGCGAAGGGGGGACGGAGAAGGCUAGGCUAGCCGGGCGACGGUUGUCCCGGUUUAAGCAUGUAGGCGGAGCGACUUGGUAAAUCCGGUUGCUUAUCAACGCUGAGGUGUGAUGACGAGCCACUACGGUGGUGAAGUAGUUGAUGCCAAGCUUCCAGGAAAAGCCUCUAAGCAUCAGGUAACAUUAAAUCGUACCCCAAACCGACACAGGUGGUCAGGUAGAGAAUACUCAGGCGCUUGAGAGAACUCGGGUGAAGGAACUAGGCAAAAUGGUGCCGUAACUUCGGGAGAAGGCACGCUGGCAUUAGGUAAAGGGACUUGCUCCCGGCGCCGAAGCCAGUCGCAGAUACCAGCUGGCUGCAACUGUUUAAUAAAAACACAGCACUGUGCAAACACGAAAGUGGACGUAUACGGUGUGACGCCUGCCCGGUGCUGGAAGGUUAAUUGAUGGGGUCAGCCUUACGGCGAAGCUCUUGAUCGAAGCCCCAGUAAACGGCGGCCGUAACUAUAACGGUCCUAAGGUAGCGAAAUUCCUUGUCGGGUAAGUUCCGACCUGCACGAAUGGCGUAAUGAUGGCCAGGCUGUCUCCACCCGAGACUCAGUGAAAUUGAACUCGCUGUGAAGAUGCAGUGUACCCGCGGCAAGACGGAAAGACCCCGUGAACCUUUACUAUAGCUUGACACUGAACAUUGAGCCUUGAUGUGUAGGAUAGGUGGGAGGCAUCGAAGUGUGGACGCCAGUCUGCAUGGAGCCAACCUUGAAAUACCACCCUUUAAUGUUUGAUGUUCUAACUCGGCCCCAUAAUCUGGGGUGAGGACAGUGUCUGGUGGGUAGUUUGACUGGGGCGGUCUCCUCCCAAAGAGUAACGGAGGAGCACGAAGGUUAGCUAAUCACGGUCGGACAUCGUGAGGUUAGUGCAAAGGCAUAAGCUAGCUUGACUGCGAGAGUGACGGCUCGAGCAGGUACGAAAGUAGGUCUUAGUGAUCCGGUGGUUCUGAAUGGAAGGGCCAUCGCUCAACGGAUAAAAGGUACUCCGGGGAUAACAGGCUGAUACCGCCCAAGAGUUCAUAUCGACGGCGGUGUUUGGCACCUCGAUGUCGGCUCAUCACAUCCUGGGGCUGAAGUAGGUCCCAAGGGUAUGGCUGUUCGCCAUUUAAAGUGGUACGCGAGCUGGGUUUAGAACGUCGUGAGACAGUUCGGUCCCUAUCUGCCGUGGGCGUUGGAAGAUUGAGAGGGGCUGCUCCUAGUACGAGAGGACCGGAGUGGACGAAUCACUGGUGUUCGGGUUGUCAUGCCAAUGGCAUUGCCCGGUAGCUAAAUUCGGAAGAGAUAACCGCUGAAAGCAUCUAAGCGGGAAACUUGCCUCGAGAUGAGUCUUCCCUGGGGCUUUAAGCCCCCUGAAGGAACGUUAAAGACUAUGACGUUGAUAGGCUGGGUGUGUAAGUGCAGCGAUGCAUUGAGCUAACCAGUACUAAUGAUCCGUGAGGCUUAACCUU
RNAcentral lists this ribosomal RNA (2907 nucleotides) under Yersinia enterocolitica. RNAcentral's name for it is "23S ribosomal RNA". It matches the Rfam family "Bacterial large subunit ribosomal RNA". The record is from RNAcentral. Lineage: Bacteria; Pseudomonadati; Pseudomonadota; Gammaproteobacteria; Enterobacterales; Yersiniaceae.